This 497-nucleotide ribosomal RNA is filed under the name uncultured bacterium. RNAcentral describes it as "partial 16S ribosomal RNA". It matches the Rfam family "Bacterial small subunit ribosomal RNA", at positions 28 to 523 of the family's 1533-position model. The record is from RNAcentral.
GAUGAACGCUGGCGGCGUGCUUAACACAUGCAAGUCGAACGAAGCACCUUAGACAGAAGCCUUCGGGCGGAAGACUUUGGUGACUUAGUGGCGGACGGGUGAGUAACGCGUGGGUAACCUGCCCUGUACCGGGGGACAACAGUUGGAAACGACUGCUAAUACCGCAUAAGCGCACAGCAUCGCAUGAUGCAGUGUGAAAAACUCCGGUGGUACAGGAUGGACCCGCGUCUGAUUAGCUAGUUGGUGAGGUAACGGCUUACCAAGGCAACGAUCAGUAGACGACGUGAGAGAGUGGUCGGCCACAUUGGAACUGAGACACGGCCCAAACACCUACGGGAGGCAGCAGUGGGGAAUAUUGCACAAUGGGGGAAACCCUGAUGCAGCGACGCCGCGUGAAGGAAGAAGUAUUUCGGUAUGUAAACUUCUAUCAGCAAGGAAGAAAAUGACGGUACUUGACUAAGAAGCCCCGGCUAAAUACGUGCCAGCCGCCGCCGUAA